This 253-nucleotide ribosomal RNA is filed under the name uncultured bacterium. RNAcentral describes it as "partial 16S ribosomal RNA". It matches the Rfam family "Bacterial small subunit ribosomal RNA", at positions 524 to 776 of the family's 1533-position model. The record is from RNAcentral.
UACGUAGGGGGCAAGCGUUGUCCGGAUUUACUGGGCGUAAAGAGCGCGUAGGCGGGCACUUAAGUCCGGUCUGAAAGCCCCCGGCUCAACCGGGGAAGGUGGCUGGAAACUGGGUGCCUCGAGGGCGGCAGAGGCGUGUGGAAUUCCUGGUGUAGCGGUGAAAUGCGUAGAGAUCAGGAGGAACACCAGUGGCGAAAGCGGCUACCUGGCCCACUCUUGACGCUGAGGCGCGAAAGCUAGGGGAGCAAACGGG